Molecule: unclassified non-coding RNA, 1962 nt
Filed under: Hevea brasiliensis (rubber tree)
Lineage: Eukaryota; Viridiplantae; Streptophyta; Magnoliopsida; Malpighiales; Euphorbiaceae
Source: RNAcentral
AUAAAACAGAAAUCUAUUUGUUCAUAAUUUUAGGGACCAUACCCCAGACAAUAUUCUGUUACAAGCAAAAUCAAAUGAAUGUUUACUGAAUUAAUACAUCUGACAAUAGAUGUAUCAGGAUCAAGAAAUUUUCAGCAACGGUUGCGUGAGCGGAGAUUAUAUUUUCUUGUUAUGGAAGUUGAAAUUGAGUUCUCUCCAACUUCUUCUGGAAUAAUGUAGUCAGGGUCUUCCAACUUAUCAACUUCGACUGGUAACUCAGUUUUAACCCAUGAAGGCCAGUCGACAUCACUGUCUGUUUCCCAUGAAUCCUCUUUAUUUAUUUGCAUGUCAUUAACCUUGUCAAUUAAUGUUCGUAUCAUCUGAUGAUUCAGAACUUCAUAGUCCCUGUAUGUGUAAAUGGCAUGUAGAAACUGAAUGGAUGAGAGAAGCACAUAGAGCGACCUGACCAAGUUAAUUAGCCAUGUUCGCUGUUCAAUAGUAUUUGUUGUCAAUCGAAGAAUCGCAACUUCUAUCAAGAAUGUAGCACAGAGACCGAUGUAUAGCCUGGCUCUUACAGUAUAUGUUUGUUUUGUGCUAGUGAACAUGUAAAUGAUAAAGAUUGACAUGGUGUAGAUGAAGAAAGCUUUAAUUAUUCGCGAUUCAAGUAACAUAGCAUUAUGCAGAGCAAACAGUUUAUCCAGGGCUAUGAACAUGCUUGCUUGUUUUGAUUCAAAAGCUUCCUGAGCUGUCAAUAUUGACUUUGAAUUUUCAAUCAAGUUGUCAUGAACUUGUUGAAGCAGUUCUUGCCGCUGGAGAAGCUCUUCCUGCUGUUUACGGCCAUAUUCUGCUAAUCUCUCAAGAGUACUCCUGCUUUCUUCUAGUGCUUCUGAUUGGAAUUCAGUUAGGAAUUGAAGACCCUUGAGUGCAGAGGAUUGCCCAUCUAAAAGUUGAUGUUGCUUGUCCAAGGAUUUCCCUGCUUUAUCCUCAAUGUCAUCAGCUGUACUCUGCAAAUUUUGCAUCCUUGAGGACAUUGUUUCUCCAACUUUAUCAAUCUGCUUCUCUAUUUCAGCAGCCUCAUUCCUCAUAUUUUCCACUUGUUGGCCCAAAUGGGUGUAAGCGUCAUAAAUGUUUGCCAUCCCUUCCUUCAACCUGUCAUUCAUUCUUGCCUGUUCUUCUCGCAGUUGGGAUUGAGAAUCUGCUAUUUCUCUAGAUUGCCUAUAAACAGCUUCUGAAUGCUGAGAUAAAACAUCCAUGUGAUCCUUCACAUCCUUCGAUGUUUGAGCUACAUUUUGAACACGAAAAUCAAUGGAGCUCAAGGUCUCAUGAAUUUGAUUUGAGCUCUUUGAUAGGGAUUGUGUUCUCUCUUGUAUGAUAUCUAGUUGGUCUGUGGUGUAUUCUGCAGAAUUUUUAAGAUCAUUCACUAGUCCCUCCAUUUUAUGCUUGAAGGAAUGGGCCUGUAACUGAUAGCAAAUGGAGUUGGUUUCAAGUAAGAAUUCAAGAAAAAUCUGAUGCUCGUGUUCAUUUAACUUCUUGAGACAAUUAACCAUGGCAGAUUUUGCGUCACAGUAAGGAAAAGGCGGUCUGCCGGAGUCCCUUUGGAAGCAAUCACUAAGAUGCCAAGCAAAUCUUGACCGCUUCUCUUCGACGGCAAGAAUCUGUGAGCAGCCGGCAAAGAGCUGUUGAUAAGCAUUUUGCCAACAAGAAUUUGAGCCUGCCAGUUUAUUUUUGGCACUUUCAACCAGCCUCACUCCCUUCUCAUCUCUAAAGCCAUCCAUUGAAAAUUCUGGAACAGAACCAGUGGAAAGAUCUCUUCUUCUCUGAGAAGUGUUAUCGGCUGAGCCAUCAGUCUCUUUUGAAGAAGAGAACCAACCCCAUGAAUGGCACCUUACUGACAUUGAAACAAGCAGAAAGAGAAGAAGAAGAAGAUGACGGCCCAUUUUCAGUUUCUCCUAAACCCAAGCCUGCAUCCCCCAGUCUCCGAAA